RNAcentral lists this ribosomal RNA (423 nucleotides) under uncultured prokaryote. RNAcentral's name for it is "bacterial SSU rRNA". It matches the Rfam family "Bacterial small subunit ribosomal RNA", at positions 355 to 795 of the family's 1533-position model. The record is from RNAcentral.
UAGGGAAUAUUAGAAAUGGACGAAAGUCUGAUCUCGCAACACCGCGUGUGCGAAGAAGGCCUUCGGGUCGUAAAGCACUUUUUGGAAGGAAUAGGAAGGAAUGUACUUCCAGAAUAAGUCUCGGCUAACUACGUGCCAGCAGCCGCGGUAACACGUAGGAGGCAAACGUUAUCCGGAUUUACUGGGCGUAAAGCGCGUGUAGGUGGUUCUGUAAGUAGGGCGUGAAAGCUCCUGGCUCAACUGGGAGAGGCCGUUCUAAACUGCAGAGCUAGAGGAUGGUAGAGGGAGGUGGAAUUCCGGGUGUAGCGGUGGAAUGCGCAGAUAUCCGGAGGAACACCAGUGGCGAAAGCGGCCUCCUGGACCAUGCCUGAAACUCAGACGCGAAAGCUAGGGUAGCAAACGGGGUUAGGUGCCCGAGUAGUC